CUUGACCUCAAAUCGGGUGAGACUACCCGCUGAACUUAA
Molecule: ribosomal RNA, 39 nt
Filed under: Lactarius akahatsu
Lineage: Eukaryota; Fungi; Basidiomycota; Agaricomycetes; Russulales; Russulaceae
Also listed under: 2 other names
Description: partial 25S rRNA
Source: RNAcentral